Molecule: ribosomal RNA, 301 nt
Filed under: uncultured bacterium
Lineage: Bacteria
Description: partial 16S ribosomal RNA
Rfam family: Bacterial small subunit ribosomal RNA
Source: RNAcentral
CAGUCGCCGCGGGAAAACGAAGGGGGCUAGCGUUGUUCGGAUUUACUGGGCGUAAAGCGCACGUAGGCGGACUUUUAAGUCAGGGGUGAAAUCCCGGGGCUCAACCCCGGAACUGCCUUUGAUACUGGAAGUCUUGAGUAUGGUAGAGGUGAGUGGAAUUCCGAGUGUAGAGGUGAAAUUCGUAGAUAUUCGGAGGAACACCAGUGGCGAAGGCGGCUCACUGGACCAUUACUGACGCUGAGGUGCGAAAGCGUGGGGAGCAAACAGGAUUAGAUACCCCGGUAGUCCCUGUCUCUUAUAC